AAGACAUCAAAAAUUUUAUUAUCUCAACUUUAUAAUUUUAAUAUUUCGAACCGGGUGUAUCUAGUGAGAGGGAGAGACAGGUGGAAGUGUCUUGGUUCGAGCCAAAGAGGUCAAUAGAAGAGGCUUUUAUCCCUGACAAAAGGCAAAUGAUGGUUGUAUCGAAAGGCAAGCAUGCAUUUCAGAGGUAUGGGGGAAUUACCAUUUGAGAACCUAGUUCUUGUUUUGCUUAUAGGAGUCCCUCACCUGAAAGGAUCUUUAGGGAUACUCCACCUGCUACUCCGAGGGGUAAUCCAUUUGUUACUUUUCCUCAGAGGCAUCCUCAUUUUGGAAGCACUCUUUUUGACACCUCAAAUUAGAAUAUUCCUUUCAAAAAGGCUCAUCCCAUCACCCUUCUUCCCACUGUACAAUUUACCUCCAACAUUACUAAAGGUGCUAAUGAGAGUGAGCAUCAGAAUGGUAUGCACAAAUUUGUUUAUGUUUUUUUGGAGGCUCCCAUCCAGAAGGAAGCAAGGCGCAACUCUUCUUAAGUUGCUGUAGGCAGUUGAAACAAUGUUUUGAUUAAGGCAUGCUGGAGAAGCUUCUAGAAGGGGAAAAGGGGAUGUACGAGCAUUAAAUACGCAAUCUGAAAGUUGUUUACGGGGAAGCUUUCUAUCACUGGUUAAUAGUUGGGAAGACUGAUUGCUUGAAACAUUUCAUGUAAUCGAGGUUUUUCCUAUAAAACCUUUCCUUUUCCUUUGAA
Long non-coding RNA from Gossypium arboreum, 739 nucleotides. RefSeq lists it as uncharacterized. The transcript has 2 exons. NCBI's taxonomy places the organism in Eukaryota, Viridiplantae, Streptophyta, Magnoliopsida, Malvales, Malvaceae. The record is from RefSeq and is a predicted model, not a curated record.